This 583-nucleotide ribosomal RNA is filed under the name Theileria sp. RNAcentral's name for it is "SSU rRNA". It matches the Rfam family "Eukaryotic small subunit ribosomal RNA", at positions 525 to 1140 of the family's 1831-position model. The record is from RNAcentral. Lineage: Eukaryota; Apicomplexa; Aconoidasida; Piroplasmida; Theileriidae.
UUAAACCUCUUCCAGAGUAUCAAUUGGAGGGCAAGUCUGGUGCCAGCAGCCGCGGUAAUUCCAGCUCCAAUAGCGUAUAUUAAAAUUGUUGCAGUUAAAAAGCUCGUAGUUGAAUUUCUGCUGCAUUGCAUCUUCUUUUUGAUGAGUUGAUGUAUUGUGGCUUAUUUCGGAUGAUACUUGUAUUAUCCGGAUGAUUACUUUGAGAAAAUUAGAGUGCUCAAAGCAGGCUUUUGCCUUGAAUAGUUUAGCAUGGAAUAAUAAAGUAGGACUUUGGUUCUAUUUUGUUGGUUUUAGGUACCAAAGUAAUGGUUAAUAGGAACAGUUGGGGGCAUUCGUAUUUAACUGUCAGAGGUGAAAUUCUUAGAUUUGUUAAAGACGAACUACUGCGAAAGCAUUUGCCAAGGAUGUUUUCAUUAAUCAAGAACGAAAGUUAGGGGAUCGAAGACGAUCAGAUACCGUCGUAGUCCUAACCAUAAACUAUGCCGACUAGGGAUUGGAGGUCGUCAGUUUUUACGACUCCUUCAGCACCUUGAGAGAAAUCAAAGUCUUUGGGUUCUGGGGGGGAGUAUGGUCGCAAGGCUGA